UGCCCACAUCACAUUGAAACUCCAGUUUCCCUAUGAUCACUAAAGUUAAGCAAGGUCGGGUUUGCUCAAUAACUAGAUGAGUGACAUCUUGGGAAUACCAGGUGCUGUAA
This is a non-coding RNA of Acanthosepion pharaonis, 110 nucleotides long. Lineage: Eukaryota; Metazoa; Mollusca; Cephalopoda; Sepiida; Sepiidae. The record is from the annotation of a GenBank genome assembly.